This 472-nucleotide ribosomal RNA is filed under the name Veillonella parvula. RNAcentral's name for it is "bacterial SSU rRNA". It matches the Rfam family "Bacterial small subunit ribosomal RNA", at positions 28 to 472 of the family's 1533-position model. The record is from RNAcentral. Lineage: Bacteria; Bacillati; Bacillota; Negativicutes; Veillonellales; Veillonellaceae.
GACGAACGCUGGCGGCGUGCUUAACACAUGCAAGUCGAACGAAGAGCGAUGGAAGCUUGCUUCUAUCAAUCUUAGUGGCGAACGGGUGAGUAACGCGUAAUCAACCUGCCCUUCAGAGGGGGACAACAGUUGGAAACGACUGCUAAUACCGCAUACGAUCUAAUCUCGGCAUCGAGGAUAGAUGAAAGGUGGCCUCUACAUGUAAGCUAUCACUGAAGGAGGGGAUUGCGUCUGAUUAGCUAGUUGGAGGGGUAACGGCCCACCAAGGCGAUGAUCAGUAGCCGGUCUGAGAGGAUGAACGGCCACAUUGGGACUGAGACACGGCCCAGACUCCUACGGGAGGCAGCAGUGGGGAAUCUUCCACAAUGGACGAAAGUCUGACGGAGCAACGCCGCGUGAGUGAUGACGGCCUUCGGGUUGUAAAGCUCUGUUAAUCGGGACGAAAGGCCUUCUUGCGAAUAGUGAGAAAGGA